GUGGGGAAUAUUGGACAAUGGGGGGAACCCUGAUCCAGCCAUGCCGCGUGUGUGAAGAAGGCCUUUUGGUUGUAAAGCACUUUAAGCGAGGAGGAGGCUACCGAGAUUAAUACUCUUGGAUAGUGGACGUUACUCGCAGAAUAAGCACCGGCUAACUCUGUGCCAGCAGCCGCGGUAAUACAGAGGUUGCAAGCGUUAAUCGGAUUUACUGGGCGUAAAGCGCGCGUAGGUGGCCAAUUAAGUCAAAUGUGAAAUCCCCGAGCUUAACUUGGGAAUUGCAUUCGAUACUGGUUGGCUAGAGUAUGGGAGAGGAUGGUAGAAUUCCAGGUGUAGCGGUGAAAUGCGUAGAGAUCUGGAGGAAUACCGAUGGCGAAGGCAGCCAUCUGGCCUAAUACUGACACUGAGGUGCGAAAGCAUGGGGAGCAAACAGGAUUAGAAACCCGUGUAGUCC
Molecule: ribosomal RNA, 451 nt
Filed under: uncultured bacterium
Lineage: Bacteria
Description: bacterial SSU rRNA
Rfam family: Bacterial small subunit ribosomal RNA
Source: RNAcentral